RNAcentral lists this unclassified non-coding RNA (543 nucleotides) under Hevea brasiliensis (rubber tree). Lineage: Eukaryota; Viridiplantae; Streptophyta; Magnoliopsida; Malpighiales; Euphorbiaceae. The record is from RNAcentral.
AUGAGAAUCCUCUGGUCCAUAUCCUAGAAAUGCAUUUGUGUAUCUUUCCUCGGGGAUGUCACGCUUUCUCAAUAAUUUCAUCCCUAGGCACUCUGUAUAGAAUUUUAUUGUUCUGUCAAGGUCUCCAACACGGUAAACAACAUGGAGCAUUCUUCUCUUGUCCUGUUUGACCCACUCCAGUACAUUUUCUUGGGUAGAAGCAGUGCUUGCAUGUGUCAUAUUUCCGGCAGCACUGAUUGACAAACAGCCUCCUUUUUCUCUUAAUAGCUUAGAAGCUUUUAGGCCAAAAGACUGCACCUGGGGAACCGCAGUACCCAGAUGACAAUAAGUGAAUUUCCGAGUAGAAUUAUGUGAGAAAUGCGAAACUGAGAAACGUGCUGACCCAGAAAACUUGAGAGAUGAAAGUGAAGGUCUAAUUGAUGAUGCCAUAGGCAAAAUUCUCACCAUUUUUGUUGAUUUAAAGCUGCUUUUUGCAGCUCCUAUAUAUGGAGUGAUGAUUGAUUUUGUUUUUUUUGGUGAUUCUUUGGAAAAAUUGAAGAUUUG